Rattus norvegicus (Norway rat) is the source of this 69-nucleotide non-coding RNA. The record is from Rfam. Lineage: Eukaryota; Metazoa; Chordata; Mammalia; Rodentia; Muridae.
GGGGAUUUAGCUCAGUGGUAGAGCGCUUGCCUAGCAAACGCAAGGCCCUGGGUUCGAUCCCCAGCUCCG